This is a long non-coding RNA of Chenopodium quinoa (quinoa), 3352 nucleotides long. RefSeq lists it as uncharacterized. The record is from RefSeq and is a predicted model, not a curated record. The transcript is spliced from 6 exons. Lineage: Eukaryota; Viridiplantae; Streptophyta; Magnoliopsida; Caryophyllales; Amaranthaceae.
CUUUUCGCACCGGUUCUAACCAAACCGGUGCGAAAAGUAAGUAAAUCGCACCGGUUCAGUUCGAACCUGUGCAAAAGCUGUUGUAAAAUAAAAAAAAAAUCGGUUAUUAUCUUCUUUCUUUCUCUUUCAAUUCCUCGAUCUUUCCUCCUCUCUCAUCUGCCUUUCUCUCCUCUCUCUCUCCUCCAUUGAAGCGUACUCGACAUUCUCCAUUGAAGGGGCUUCAACUCGACCCAAUUCAACAGCUUCUACAAUCACCCGAGAUCAGCUCGCUAAAUUCUUAGUACUUUCCUCAAAACCUUGUUGUUCGAUUUACGUUACAAGAUUUUAGGGUUUUUGUUUGGAUUUUUCAAGGGUUUCGUCUGUUAAUAGUGGCGGCACCUUCUUGCAAGCCUUAUUGCAACCUAUGCACCCUUCCUUGGUUUCAUUGUGGAGUUCUUCAGUUGUGCUCCAUCAAUCAAGGGUUUUAUUUGGCGGUGGUGGCAGCAGAUAUUACAGCAGCGGAAGGAAGACUAACUCAGUUUCAAUUGCACAAUUUGUUGAAGACUAAAAUCGUUGGCUUCAUCUUCUUUUGUUGAGUUUUCCUGAGUUAGUGUUCCAUUGUAAAAAGUGGGUUGAGUUUUUUUCCUUUCUAUUGCUUCUUUUACAGUGUUAGGUUUUGCUCUUUCAGGUUCUCGUUGUUCUCUUUAUUCUUGAGUUUGUGUGUUUGUUUAGUGUUAUUGAUGUUAAUUUGAUCAGUUUUGCUGUUGAGAUCAAUGAGCAAUUGCAUCUUUAGUGGAUCAGUUUUCCUUUUCCUUUCUAUUUUAAUCGUGGUGCUGCAAGAUUAGUUGUUGCGCGUGUGGUGUUGUGCGUGUAUUGUUGCGUGUGUGGUGCGCUACAAUUGCGUGUUAUGUGGUGCUCUGUUGUGGGGUGCUGUUGUUGUUAUUGAGUGUGGUUGUUGUUGCAUCUCUAAGUGGACUGAUUCUUCUUAUCCUGUGAGUAUAUAAGAUAUUCUUAUUUUUUAAAUCAUUCUACAGUGUUUUGUAUGUGAUUGGUUACUGUUCAUUUUUAAGAACUGAAAAUUGAUAUCACAUGCUUAGAGUUUGAAGACUCCUCAACUCAAACAUUGUAACUUGUCUGGUUGUUGAUUAAUUUAUUUUUAUUUGAUUGAUUUCUGUGCCUAUAACUUAUGUGCUUAUUUUACGUAAAAACUUCUUUGGAUUUAUUAGAAUUUUCAUAUGAACUCAUGAGGAACAUUUUGUUGUUCCUACCAAGCAUAUAAUCCGUGGUUGGCGAAAUAUUGGUGCCAUGAUUCAAUUUUACCUUCCCCCGAACCCCAAGAGUGGUAGUUGUCUUUUUAGUCUAGUGUUUUUUGCUUUGUGAUUUUGUUAGCUUGAGAAUUGUUUGGGAAUUUAGUAAUCAUCACUUUGUCUUUCCUGUUCUGGAGUCAGAGGUAACAGCCCUGGAACAUCCGUCUUUUCUCCAUUAUUUGCUGCUAAGAUAUUGUUGUUCUAAUUAUUAAUCUUUUGUGAUCAUCUAGGUUUGUUGAUACUGUCAACAACAACCUAAUAAUUCAACAUGUUUCGUUUUUCAAACCUCAGAGAAUUUGUGGAUAUGUGUAAUAUGUGGUUUUGUGGGUUGUGGAAGGAAACGUUUGAUCCAGGUAUAAAGAUGGCAUGUUAUAAUGCAUUGGAAAAAAACACAGCACUAUUACUCCCUGGGCUUGGAAAUUUGGCGUGUUUGGGAUUAUGUUGGCGACAACUAUGUCCACCGUUUAAUACAAUAAAAAAACCGAUGGGAAGUUGGUUGAGCUAAAUGCUCCUUGUUCACAUGCCAUGCAUGGUUGUGGAAGUUGUGAGUGUAAUGGGGAUCCUGAAGUAAAUGAUGCCAUCGUUAAUAGUAAAAUUGAAGUUAUCGUAAAUGAAUACAAUGAGCUUCUUUCCACACAGCUUGAGAAUCAAAAAUUGGAGUAUUGGAUAUUGAUGAUGAACCUAUUUGGCACUUAAAGCUGUCUAGGAUUCUCAUGAAUAGGCUAGUCAUUGGAGAAGGUACAUUGUCUAGAAUCACUUCAUAGUUCAGAUUAUGAAUGAUUGAUUUUUCGUGUCUUAUUAUUCAUCAUUGUCUCCCACCUUUUUUUUUGUUCCUUUAGGUAUUAGCUAAGUAUGCGUAGGGUAGAUUAAUCUGUAUAUUUUAUGAUAUCAAAGUUUGUUCAGUGAAGCAUGUAGGUAGAACUGGCUACUUGUUCAAUACUAGGUACUUAAACAUGUUAAAGUCAAGGAUAGUUGUUGGCUGAUUGAACCUUUUGAUGUUGUUUGCUUUUGUGUUAGUGUAGAAAAUCAUAAGUUGGUUAAUGUUUUUUUAGUUAAUUAAUCGUCAAGCAAUCUGUUUAUUAUUGGAGGAUGACGACUUGAUGAUAGCUUGUAGCUGAAUAGAAUUGGCAUGGAUUACAAAAUAUAUAUUAAGAAUGUGAGCCAAGUUGACUUGCAAACGCGUUUAAUAGCUUUGAAUGGAUGAUAUAACCAUUUGUAAUAUGUAUUGCAGGAGCAUUAGAUUAAGGAUGAAUCUAUUUGACGUUCAACCUGUCUGGGAUUUCUCCUAGCUGGUAGUCACUGGAGAAGGUGUGUUUUCUUGCAACACUUUUUGGCUUUCAAAAUUUCAUAUCUUAAGCUAUUCAUGGUUUGUUCAUUUUGAGUUUCCAUGAUGCCUUUUUUUGUUCGUUACUUUGUGUAUGAGCUGAGUAAGUGUAGGGUAGGUUAACCUGUGUACUUUGUGAUAUUCAAGGUUGUUUAGUGAAACAAUUAGGUAAAACCGGCUGCUUUUUGAAAACUUAAAUGUGUAAAAAGGCAUGUAUAGUUGCUGGUUGACUGUAAGUUUUCAUGAUUUCUGCUUGUGUAUUACUGGAGAAUAUAUAUUUCGUCAGUGCUUUUUAUGUAAAUCGUCAAGCAAUUUGUUGAUAAUGGGAGGAUGAGAACUGGAUGAUAUUAAGCAAGCUGAUUCUCGUAGUCAGUCUCCCCGCAAAUCUGAUGUAGAUGAGUAAAGGUCGUUGCACUCGACUAAUGCUAUGAUCAGAAUGCUUCUAAUGCCAGCUCAGUUUGCCGGAGAGCCUUUUGCAUGUCCAUGUUGUUCAGUGCUUGACUUGAAUUGAAAUGUUUGUUCAAAGUUAGAACUUUCUUAGUUGAAUUCAAUGCUUCUUUUAACUUUUCUUGGUAUGGUCAUGUUGUUUGGCUAUUGAGCUCUAUGAGCAGUUUAUUUGUCAAUAUGUUAAAGAACUUGAGGUGGUUGGAUGGUCUGUUAGUCUUAAAGAUUAUCUUAUGUUAUUUUAUUUUAUAUUUUAUUUUUUUGGACGAAAAUAGUAAUAUUACAGCCUUUUUUAAUG